UCGGAGGCUCCCAGCCACAGACCCGUUUGCCUCAGGGAGCCGAGCUUGUCUGGAUCCACCAUGGCCUGGGCCCCCCUGCUCCUCACCCUGUUCACCUACUGCUCGGGUUCUCUGGCCCAGUACGUGCUGACUCAGCCGCCCUCAGUGUCUGUGUCUCCAGGGCAAAACGCUCAACUCACCUGCUCAGGGAACAACAUUGGUAGCAAGAGUGUGCAGUGGUACCAACAGAAACCUGGCAACGCCCCCCUACUUGUGAUAUAUGGUAGUAACAGCAGACCCUCCGGAAUCCCUGAGCGAUUCUCUGGUGCCAAGUCUGGGAACACGGCCACGUUAACCAUCACUGGGGUCCAGGCGCAGGACGAGGCUGAUUAUUACUGUCAGGUGUGGGAUAGUGGUGCUCCUCACAGUGACCCAACCCGAUGA
This is a non-coding RNA of Pelodiscus sinensis (Chinese soft-shelled turtle), 423 nucleotides long. The record is from the annotation of a RefSeq genome assembly. Lineage: Eukaryota; Metazoa; Chordata; Testudines; Trionychidae.